UUGUAGCAUUAUAGAAGAUCUAGCAGAUACACCAAUGGACGAAUCAAGCGACGAUGACAUCAACAAAGGUUCUGAUGACAUAAAGAAUAUUGAAAACCAGAAAUAUUUGCCCGCACUUGUGGAUAACGAGGUUUAUCAAGACAAAUUAAAACUAGCUAUUGUGUUAAUGCCUUUCAUUAUUCUUAUUUUGUCGAUAACUACGACGAACUUUGUUAAAAAAAGACGAUGAAAUUUCUCUGUCAGCUUCAGGUAAUUAAACAAAAAGUAUUUAAAAUCAAACCUUCCCGAUUGAUUUUGUGCUAGCUUAACCUCCUACUUAUAUAUGUAUAAUACAUGUAGCUGUUUAGUAAAAAUAGGUUAAUUAUCACAUUAAGACAUAAUUGGUUAACGUGAUAAUUUUAAGGAGUCUGCAUAGCCGUUCGGCCAUGCUUCAAGGUGCACAUUUUGAAUUGUUUUUAUCUUAAGUCUUUUUUUACAAUAUGAUUAUCAAUGUAUUCAAAAUGUUGAAUUGUUAGCCUUAUUAUCAGAAGUGAGAAAAUCGCAUAAUCUCUUCAUUAUACAAAAUCAAUCACACAUUUAACAAACCAAAAACACAUGCACAGCGUUUUUAAUGACAAAGCAGCCUAAGAUGAUGUCUUCAGCACGUAUCAAACGUAAUCCACGUUUAAAACAGCUCCUUACACCGUUUGAAACGCAAGUUAUUUAGAAUAUUUGGACUGUUUUAUUUAAUAUGUCGGUUUAGUUCACGCAUCAUUGUAAAUAUAACGGAAUUUGAUGAGACUGUCAUCAAAGUGAGAGGUUUAGCGCUAUAAAUCCAGGUUUAAUCCACCAUUUUCUACAUUUGAAAAUGCAUGUACCAAGUUAGGAAUAUGACAGUUCUUGUCCAUUCGUUUUUUGAUGAGUUUUGUUAUUUGAUUUUGUGAUUAUGGACUUGCCAAUUAGAUUUUCCUCUACGUUCAGUAUUUUUGUGAUUUUACUUUUUAUUGAUACAUGUCUUACAUUUUAUUUUUAGAUAAUUAUAUACAUACUUGUAAUCUAAUAAAAUUAACGGUACUAAUUUUCUUGCACCAGAUGCGCAUUUCGACAAUACAUGUCUCUUCAGUGAUGCUCGUGGCCAAAAUAUUUAAAAUCCAAAGCUUAUAUAAAAGAUGAAGAGCUAUAAUCCAAAAGGUCCAAAAAAGUAUAGCCAAAUCCGUGAAAGGAAUCAGAGCUUUGCAUGAGGGAGAUACAUUCCUUAAUUUAUAAUAAUUUCUAUCAUUUUUGUAACAGUAAAAUUUUAAUAACACAAAAAAAAUCCGUAUUUUCAUGCCAGUACCGAAGUACUGGCUACUGGGGUGGUGAUACCCUCGGGGACUAAUAGUCCACCAGCAGAGGCAUCGACCCAGUGGUAGUAAUAAAAUUAACGGUACUAAUUUUCUUGCACCAGAUGCGCAUUUCGACAAUACAUGUCUCUUCAGUGAUGCUCGUGGCCAAAAUAUUUAAAAUCCAAAGCUUAUAUAAAAGAUGAAGAGCUAUAAUCCAAAAGGUCCAAAAAAGUAUAGCCAAAUCCGUGAAAGGAAUCAGAGCUUUGCAUGAGGGAGAUACAUUCCUUAAUUUAUAAUAAUUUCUAUCAUUUUGUAACAGUAAAUUUUAAUAACACAAAAAAUCCGUAUUUUCAUGCCAGUACCGAAGUACUGGCUACUGGGGUGGUGAUACCCUCGGGGGACUAAUAGUCCACCAGCAGAGGCAUCGACCCAGUGGUAGUAAUAAAAUUAACGGUACUAAUUUUCUUGCACCAGAUGCGCAUUUACUCUAACUUAAGAAAUUUCAGGAUGUUCCAUCCCGUUUCAUGGAGAAAUUUUGAGACUUUCAAGACAAUUGGAAAACAUAAGCAUGUUAUUGAUGAAUGAACAUGUUUCAGUUGAAGCACAUGGGAAGAAUAUUAAGCAACAAAGGAAGACACACACAUGUGUAUAUGAUCAACUAAAUGGCGAAUUAAAAAGAUUAAAGGAAAAAGUUCAGCUAUUAAAUUCCACAAAGGGUAAGCUACUAUCAGAGAUACAAGAGAGGCGAGAUAUAUCCCAAAGGGAUUUUCAAACUCAGAUGUCGAUGACAAACUGACAAC
Molecule: long non-coding RNA, 2104 nt
Filed under: Mytilus galloprovincialis (Mediterranean mussel)
Lineage: Eukaryota; Metazoa; Mollusca; Bivalvia; Mytilida; Mytilidae
Source: RNAcentral